Molecule: ribosomal RNA, 555 nt
Filed under: Guomyces nicotianae
Lineage: Eukaryota; Fungi; Basidiomycota; Exobasidiomycetes; Exobasidiales; Brachybasidiaceae
Description: SSU rRNA
Rfam family: Eukaryotic small subunit ribosomal RNA
Source: RNAcentral
GCCAGCAGCCGCGGUAAUUCCAGCUCCAAUAGCGUAUAUUAAAGUUGUUGCAGUUAAAAAGCUCGUAGUUGAAUUUCAGGCCCUGGCCGUUCGGUCCGCCUCACGGCGUGUACUGUAUCGGUUGGGCCUUCCUCUCUUGGUGAGCCCCGCAUGCCGUUUAUUCGGUGUGCGGGUGUCUGGCCAGGACUUUUACUUUGAAAAAAUUAGAGUGUUCAAAGCAGGCCUAUGCCCGAAUAUAUUAGCAUGGAAUAAUAGAAUAGGACGUCGCGGUCCUAUUUUGUUGGUUUCUAGGAUCGCCGUAAUGAUUAAUAGGGAUAGUCGGGGGCAUUUGUAUUCACAUGCUAGAGGUGAAAUUCUUGGAUUUUGUGAAGACAAACUACUGCGAAAGCAUUUGCCAAGGAUGUUUUCAUUAAUCAAGAACGAAGGUUAGGGGAUCGAAAACGAUUAGAUACCGUUGUAGUCUUAACAGUAAACUAUGCCGACUAGGGAUCGGGCGAUGUUAUUUUUUCUUGACUCGCUCGGCACCUUGCGAGAAAUCAAAGUUUUUGGGUUCUG